This 74-nucleotide transfer RNA is filed under the name candidate division MSBL1 archaeon SCGC-AAA261D19. RNAcentral describes it as "candidate divison MSBL1 archaeon SCGC-AAA261D19 tRNA". It matches the Rfam family "tRNA". Rfam says of the family: Transfer RNA (tRNA) molecules are approximately 80 nucleotides in length. Lineage: Archaea; Methanobacteriati; Methanobacteriota. The record is from Rfam by way of RNAcentral.
GGGCCGGUAGUCUAGCUUGGAUAAGACUCGGGCCUCCGGAGCCCGCGACUCGGGUUCGAAUCCCGGCCGGCCCG